This 200-nucleotide unclassified non-coding RNA is filed under the name uncultured fungus. RNAcentral's name for it is "sequence contains ITS1, 5.8S rRNA gene". The record is from RNAcentral. Lineage: Eukaryota; Fungi.
CUGAGUCGUCGACACGAGUUGUUGCUGGUCCCUGAACAGGGGACAUGUGCACGCUCUGUUUACACAUCCACUCACACCUGUGCACCCUCUGUAGUUCUAUGGUCUGGGGGGCUCUGCCUCCCUUCUGUGGUUCUGCAUCUUUACACACACACUGUAACAAAGUUUUAUGGAAUGCACAUCGCGUUUAACGCAAUAUAAUA